CAGCCGCCGCGGUAAUACGAAGGGGGCUAGCGUUGUUCGGAAUUACUGGGCGUAAAGCGCACGUAGGCGGAUAUUUAAGUCAGGGGUGAAAUCCCGCAGCUCAACUGCGGAACUGCCUUUGAUACUGGGUAUCUUGAGUAUGGAAGAGGUAAGUGGAAUUCCGAGUGUAGAGGUGAAAUUCGUAGAUAUUCGGAGGAACACCAGUGGCGAAGGCGGCUUACUGGUCCAUUACUGACGCUGAGGUGCGAAAGCGUGGGUAGCAAACAGGAUUAGAUACCCCAGUAGUCCCUGUCUCUUAUAA
This 301-nucleotide ribosomal RNA is filed under the name uncultured bacterium. RNAcentral describes it as "partial 16S ribosomal RNA". It matches the Rfam family "Bacterial small subunit ribosomal RNA", at positions 509 to 809 of the family's 1533-position model. The record is from RNAcentral.